GAAAAAGCAAGGGGACGGUGCCCAUGCCCCUUAACAAAGGAAUAGUACUAGUGGUCUUCUCUCUUUUUCUCCCUGCUGCUGAUGGAGCUCCGCUGCCACCUCUCUAGGUUUACCGUUAGCUUCCUGUCAGCAUUCCUGAUUUCUCUGGAAUCAUACCAGGGAUGGAACUCAGGACCUUGCAUUUGUGAGGCAGGCGGCAGAACCACUGAGGUCUGUUUCGGGCAGUUCUGAACAACUGCAGCUAAGCCAGCACUACUACAGGAGUAGGAGACACACGGGUUGCUGGGGUCAUCGAAUGAAGCACCAAUCUGGAAGUUAAGAGGGGGAGAAAAUAUUUGUCCUGAUUUCUCUUUGAGAUUGAUAAUUAAAUUUUAAAAAUCCUAUUUA
RNAcentral lists this long non-coding RNA (387 nucleotides) under Heterocephalus glaber (naked mole-rat). RNAcentral describes it as "lncRNA (ENSHGLG00100045417.1)". Lineage: Eukaryota; Metazoa; Chordata; Mammalia; Rodentia; Bathyergidae. The record is from RNAcentral.